This 459-nucleotide ribosomal RNA is filed under the name uncultured bacterium. RNAcentral's name for it is "partial 16S ribosomal RNA". It matches the Rfam family "Bacterial small subunit ribosomal RNA", at positions 338 to 795 of the family's 1533-position model. The record is from RNAcentral.
CCUACGGGAGGCAGCAGUGAGGAAUAUUGGUCAAUGGGCGCGAGCCUGAACCAGCCAAGUCGCGUGAGGGAAGACCGUCCUAUGGAUUGUAAACCUCUUUUGUAGGGGAGCAAAAGACGCCACGCGUGGCGUUCCGAGAGUACCCGAAGAAAAAGCAUCGGCUAACUCCGUGCCAGCAGCCGCGGUAAUACGGAGGAUGCGAGCGUUAUCCGGAUUUAUUGGGUUUAAAGGGUGGGCAGGCGGAAGUUAAAGUCAGCGGUAAAAUUGAGGGGCUCAACCUCUUCGAGCCGUUGAAACUGGGUUGCUUGAGGGAGUUAGAGGUAGGCGGAAUGCGUGGUGUAGCGGUGAAAUGCAUAGAUAUCACGCAGAACUCCGAUUGCGAAGGCAGCAUACCGGGGCUCAACUGACGCUCAUGCACGAAAGUGUGGGUAUCGAACAGGAUUAGAUACCCUUGUAGUC